GAUGAACGCUGGCGGCGUGCCUAAUACAUGCAAGUCGAGCGAACAGACGAGGAGCUUGCUCCUCUGACGUUAGCGGCGGACGGGUGAGUAACACGUGGAUAACCUACCUAUAAGACUGGGAUAACUUCGGGAAACCGGAGCUAAUACCGGAUAAUAUAUUGAACCGCAUGGUUCAAUAGUGAAAGACGGUUUUGCUGUCACUUAUAGAUGGAUCCGCGCCGCAUUAGCUAGUUGGUAAGGUAACGGCUUACCAAGGCAACGAUGCGUAGCCGACCUGAGAGGGUGAUCGGCCACACUGGAACUGAGACACGGUCCAGACUCCUACGGGAGGCAGCAGUAGGGAAUCUUCCGCAAUGGGCGAAAGCCUGACGGAGCAAUGCCGCGUGGGUGAUGAAGGUCUUCGGAUCGUAAAGCUCUUUUAUUGGGGAAGAACAAAUGUGUAAGUAACUAUGCACGUCUUGACGGUACCUAAUCAGAAAGCCCCGGCUAACUACGUG
Molecule: ribosomal RNA, 497 nt
Filed under: uncultured bacterium
Lineage: Bacteria
Description: partial 16S ribosomal RNA
Rfam family: Bacterial small subunit ribosomal RNA
Source: RNAcentral